This is a long non-coding RNA of Homo sapiens (human), 7994 nucleotides long. RefSeq lists it as uncharacterized. The transcript has 2 exons. Lineage: Eukaryota; Metazoa; Chordata; Mammalia; Primates; Hominidae. The record is from RefSeq and is a predicted model, not a curated record.
AGAAGUCCUUACCGCUUGUCACUCACCUCUGCAUUUCUUUCUGUUCUGGGACUCUACCUUCAUUCAGGAGCUAUGUGAUGGUGAACGUAGCUGAAGCUGGCUCAGAUGGUUCAAGGAGCGGAUUUACAGGAUAAAAAACAUUUCUGCCACUUUUUGCAUCUUGGGGUAGGGUUUGAGUUUGAUGGCACGGGGGCAUCUUCACAACUUUUUGCACUUUUUUUCCAUAAGUCCCCAGUUCCACCACCAUUUUAGGACAUCUGGGGUUGUCAGGUAAUUCUCUCUGACACAUUCCCAUUGUUCCUGCUUUAAAACUGUCAGGUCAACUCAGAAAAUUAUCAAGCCACAUGUCGGAGAGUAUUAAAGGCAGUGGCUUCACUAAAAGCCAAAAGAGAAGCUCCAAUGUACCCAGACGUCUGGCCUAACUCGAGUUUUCAUUCUGUAGCUCAAGGCCAGAACUACUUUGACCUUCUCCAAAACAAUGCAUCUUCCAAGCAAAGACACAAGCCUAAAUAUUAUAAAUUUAUCCCAAACAACUCCCAUUCCUCUUGAAAAGCAUCACUGUCUAUUAAUAAAGAGAAAUUAAUAAUUAUAACAAUAACAUUUGAUAUUUUAUUUUCAGUAUAUUAUUAAGCAUUUUAGAAUAUUAUUUUAUUCCAUCCUUAUGUAUUAAUUCAAAUAUAUUUAUAUGGUCUUGACCAGUCCCUCCCUCGUGGAGCUCUCAUUCCAUCCUAUAACAAUGGAAAUCUUCAAGGCAGAUGUGCCCAAGCCACAUCCCCUCCACCUUCCUCUGACCUCAGCUGUUGCCAGGAUGGACACCUCCCCAUCUCCAGUGCCCUUGAAUUUCAGGACGGAGGAAGGGGCUUCAUCCCCAAAGUAGGUGCAGCCUGGAGGAGCAAGGAGUUUGCAUCAAAGGAUGGGGAUGGGCAGUGGGAGAGAAUGUCAAGCCUUUCACCCUUCAGAUGGACAAUUCCCAGGCACGUUCCUCGCAAUUUCUCCAAGGCCCCCCGACAGGACAGGCUCACUUGGCUGGCAGGGCUUCAUAGCCCCUGCUCUGUGGGCCUCUCCUCCUUGUCUGUUUCACUCUCACCACCGCUUCCCUCCUGCUCCCUGGAUCACCUCCCGAAUAAACUGCCUGCACUCACAUCCUUCUCAGGCUUUUCUCUAGAGGGACUCAACCUCCCAUUUUACAGAUGCAGACUUUGUGGCAAAAUGCCUUGAAAUCGUAAGCAGCAGAUCCAGGACUCACACCAGGUGUGUGUGACCCCAGAGUCCAAGGACCCAGCACUGAUGUGAUGCUGUCUCCUGCUGUCAAAUGUUUUAGGGCUGUCCCAGUGGCACUCAGAUUUAUACUGAUUACCUGAAGUGGUACUUUUCAAGACAGCCCCACUCCAUCGCCGGGUAGGUCUAACGAUUAGAAAGUUCUGAUUGGCAUUCAGCUCAUAUCUACAUCCAUGAAGCUUCAUGUAUUUUUCCUUCAUCAGCAAACACCUAUUCAUUGUUGUCUAGAAGCUGGACACUGUGCUAGGCAUGGGGGCACAGCUCUAAUGAGGAAGAUAUGGUCCCUUUGUUGACAGAGCUGCCCGUCUGGGACUGUUGAGCACCGUGCAGGGUGGGAGCUGCAGGCUGCUGUGGGGACAUGGAGUAGGGCACCUCUCUCAGCCACACUGUCCUUCUCAGUAACCUAGAAUAGGAUUCUCCAUGUCCGCAUGAGUCCUGCAGGCAGUGGCUGCAGAUAUCAUGUCCCCGUUCUCUGUUCUUCACGUCCAUCAGCCAACCUUUGAAUGGACCUUGAUAGCAUAAUGGAACCCAUAUCUCCUGGUGUGAUCAAAUGAGAAACCAAUGCAGAGUGCAUUCCCUUACCCAGAGAAGAGAUCCAGACCUCGGCAGGGAGUCUGGGAAACCAUGGAUGAAUCCUUGAACCUGUCCUCAAGGUUAGUCUUUGGAAGACCCCACGGGGCUUUUCCCCAAUGCUGAGUAAUUCAAGCCCUGAUCCCUAACCCUCCCACCAAAAAUAUUGGCAGCACAGGCCUAAGACGCCUGAAUAGGUCCUAGGGAGUGAAAACAAUAUUACGUUCCUUUUUCCCUUGUGUUGCAACUGAUACAGAAGGUAGUAAUUUACAUGACCAAUUAGUGGGUAGUAGGCUUUGGAGUCUGCCUUAUUUAAAAAAAUAGGCUUGUGAAACUGCUAGACUUGUCUGCUUUCUUAAAUUUCAGAUGGUCCCACAGCAAAGCAACAUAUUGUUUGGCAAUUAGGUUGCUGCGGCAGGCUAGAAUGGCUCAAAAGCAGCCACAAAAGCACAGAAAUGUGAACUAUUUUUAAAUGGCUUUCCCAGCAACAUGAAUGUAUGCUCAAAGUUUGACUUCCUUCCCUCUGAUCUAUUAAGUUCUCAUGUGGAUUUUUCUUUUUGAAAUAUUUUUGGAAAUGGGAUUCUAGACAUGUGUCCCUGGAAGUCUUGGAAAGGCAAACCUCAGAUUCCCGGGAAAUGACACUGUGACCUUCAACUGCCCUUGCUGUAUCCAUGGUCAACCCCCUCCCCUGCCUGCCCCCACCUUGCCUGAUGACACCAACUCAACAGGCAUUCUCUCUUCCGCUAUGACUGGCAAGGCAGCAGCCAACUCCAAUCUCGGAAAGUCCCAUUCACCCAUCCGUUUAUCCAUCAUCCAUCCCUCUCUCCCUUCAUUUCGUAAUUUAUUCAAUGAAUACUAACCUUCCAAUACACACCAGAAACUGUGUUAGGGGCCACACUAAGCCCUUGAGACACUGCAAGAAAUAAGAAAGUCCCAGAUGUCCUCUCACAAGCCCUUUCAUCUAGCAGGGAAUGGAUGUUAUGCAAAUAUUUUACAAAUAAUUGGCUACAAUUGUAAUAGGUGCCCCUAAGGUGAGUAUAAGGCACUAUGUGCACCUAUAACAAAAGGGACCGAAACUAGCCUGAGUUUCCUGAGGUGACACUCAAGCUGAGAGAUGGAGAAAUAGAUGGUGUCAGCAAACUAAAGAGGGAACAGAGAGGGAGGGCAAGAGAUUUAGGAAUGAAGGGUCUGCGUAAGGGUCCUGGGAAGAAGGAGUAUUCACUUUGAGGGGCCGCAUAAAGGCCACUGUGGCCAAAGGGUGAGCGCUCAGGAGACAGGGGAUGGGGCAGGAUGGGCCAGAGAGGGAAGCUGUGGCUCCAUCAUGCAGGAUUUAGGAGAAAAAGGGGAAACCAGGGGAGGGUGAUGUGUGUGAUGCUGGAGUCACUUGUGUUCAGGAAGGCCACGCUGCUGCCUGCUAUUUGGAGAGUGGGCUCCAGACGAGAGGGUGGAGUGAUGGGUGGAAGGUGGAGGUAAGAAGCAGGGAGGGAUGUUAGGAGGCCAGUGCAUUGUCCUGGAGAGGUGACUGUGACUGUGACUGGAAUGGGGAUAGUGGCAGUGAAGAGAAUCAGAAUGGUUCAAAAUAUACUUUGGAAGGGACCCAUGAGGACUCCUCGGUGCUCUGUGGCAUGCCAGGAGAGCCCCUUGGACAUGCUGCACAGCUUCAGAGCUGAGCCAGGCCCUCAGCAGCCUCCUGCUUCUGAUCCGUGGCUGCGCGAGGGUCUGCAGGGUCAGAGGGAAAGGAUGGCUUCACUUCCGCCCACCUCUCCUGCUUCUGUUUCUGGAGGGAUUGUGUUGUGCUGCUGUUCUCCAACUGCUUCUCGUCGAGUGAGUAACUAAGGAGAGGUGUAUUAGAAACUUUUUGUACCCUCCUUUUUUCUCUGAAUGGCUGUAGCACUUACCAGCCUCUUGGCCAUACCGUCAACAUUCAAUUUGUACUUGGGGAUUGAGCCAUCACUCCAUAUAAUCUCAGGAAAGGUGAGAAUCAGGUGCAUUCUCACCUCUACCUGUUGCUAUCCCAUAUCAGCUGUCAGGUCAGCCAAGAGGCUCUAUAAACUAGGAAAGGGGAAGAUGGUUUGUUGGUUAUUGCAGCACUAUUCACAAUAGCAAAGACUUGGAACCAACCCAAAUAUCCAUCAAUGAUAGACUGGUUUAAGAAAAUGUGGCACAUAUACACCAUGGAAUACUAUGCAGCCAUAAAAAAGUUCAUGUCCUUUGUAGGGACAUGGAUGAAGCUGGAAACCAUCAUUCUCAGCAAACUAUCGCAAGGACAAAAAACAAAACACCACAUGUUCUCACUCAUAAGUGGUAAUUGAACAAUGAGAACACUUGGACACAGGAAGGGGAACAUCACACACUGGGGCCUGUUGUGGGGUGGGCGGAAGGGGAGGGAUGGCGUUAGGAGAUAUACCCAAUGUAAAUGACGAGUUAAUGGGUGCAGCACACCAACAUGGCACAUGUAUACAUAUGUAACAAACCUGCACGUUGUGCACAUGUACCCUAGAACUUAAAGUAUAAUUAAAAAAAAAAAAGGGGGAAGAUGGGAAAAGUAAGUUCCCUCAACCCUAAUACAGGAAGUUGGAAAAGCCACACUGUCAGUACAGUCCUCAAAUACAAGAAUUAUCAAACAGUAGCAUCAAAAGGCACAAUGGGGGCUGAGUGCAGUGGUUCUCACCUGUAAUCCCAGCACUUUAGGAGGCUCAGGCAGGAGGAUCACUUGAGCGCAGGAGUUUGAUACCAGCCUGGGCAACAUAGUGAGACCUUGUCUCUACAAAACGUAAAAAAUUUGCUCAGUAUGGUGGCACACACCUGUAGUUCCAGCUAUCUGUAGGCUCAGGCAGGAGGAUCAAUUAAGCCCAGGAGUUCGAGGCCACAGUAAGCUAUGAUCACACUACUGCACUCCAGCCUCACAGAGUAAGAACUUUUCUCAAACAAACAAGCAACAAAAAAAGAAAGAAAAAGGCACAAUGGUGUGGCUUUCUGGCAUGUAAUACCCUCUUUUAUCUUCCUGCCUAGCUGUAUGUAUGCCACCACCCAUCUGUUGUGUGCUCAUGGCAGACAUUACAAAUCAAUCAAGAUGCUUUGCCUCAAAUUGAACUUUCAGGAACACUCUCAAUACUAUGCUUUGGGCUCUUCAGUUGACUAAGGUUGGUAUGGAAUGUGAAACUUAUUUGCCAUCCCUAUUCUUGACUGUUUAAUCAAGAUAAUCAACUUGGGAAGAUUCCUUUUUUUUUUUUUUUUUUUUUGAGACGGAGUCUCAUGCUGUCACCCAACCUGGAGUACAGUGGCAUGAUCUCGGCUCACUGCAACCUCUGCCUCCUGGGUUCAAGCGAUUCUCCUGCCUCAGCCUCCUGAGUAGCUGGGAUUACAGGUGUGUGCCACCACACCCAGCUAAUUUUUGUAUUUUUAGUAGAUAUGGGGUUUCUCCACAUUGGUCAGGCUGGUCUUGAACUUCUGACCUCAGGUGAUCUGCCCGCCUUGGCCUCCCAAAGUGCUAGGAUUACAGCCAUGAGCCACCGCACCCAGCCACUUGGGAAGAUUCUUCAAGUGACCAUUUGGUCAAGCGCCCAAGCUUUUAUGUAGGCAAACCUCCUAGUUAUCCUAGGCAGGUGGUGGCCAAUUCUUUUAAAGAUUUCCAUGGCUCUCGAUACCCCCAUCAUACUCCAGCACCCAUCCUGCCCUGGCUUAUCCUGACAAAAGAUUUUUUCCCCCACAUUUACCUGAACUCUGUCUUCCUUGCUAUUCAGAGAAAAUGAAGAAGGAAAGAGAAAGAACUACAGAAUUACCAGGAUACAAGGAAUUUGCUGUUAAGAUCUUCUUAACCUUCCAGUUGCUUGGGAAUCAUUGCCGUAGGGUGUCUCUGUACUCAACAGAAGGGUGAAGACGUUUUAGCAACAGUAGCAAAGCAAAUGAUCUUGGACUUACAGUUUCUUGAUUUCCGAUGAUUAAGCUUCUGCACAUACCAACCCCAAGACAGGGUCAUUCUAUAACUUCUUAAUAAGGUUAAGGUAUUUCGACUACUUGGUCUUCAGUUUCCCUCAGUAAUAGAGACACCAAGAUCCUAUUGCUCUCCAGCAACCAGGCAGGAGAGAUUUGAGUCAGAGGAAAGCACGAGAGAGAAGUUAAGAACAGCAAUUUCUUAAGUCAUAAACGGAGUCAGGACUGUAAGUGUGAUUUUCUGUUACCUGCCCCAGACCUCAUGGAAUUAAACUUUCCUGCCCUGAUCCCUUGGAUUCGUUUCUCCAACCCCACUCACCUAGCCCGGCCUCCCCGAAACACAAAUUGGAAUGGCGUUGGCUCCCGGGCACACUAGGGGGCGCCAGCGGGCUUGUUUUCCAGGAUGGCCCUAAAAUUCUCUCCAGCGAGGAGAGGACCAUGACGGCCAGGCCACGCUUGCUCUGAAAAGCGCCGAGCGUGGAAGGGUGUCUUGGAAUGGGGUCUAAAAGGGAGAACGACAUCCUUAUGACUUGCUUUAGGCUGCUUUCUGGAUGUAUUUUCAGAGCUGGGGAUGAGGAGAGGUUGCGUAAAGGUGCCGGCCUGCUGCUGGCCGGGGCUGGCAGCCUUUCAGCCGCCGCGGGUGAGUCAACACCUGGGAAUUGCAUCCAAGGGCGGCCCUUUCAAGCUGCCUGGAACUUUCUGCCAUCACACUGAGGCCACUGUUUGACCCAGUCCCGGGCCAGGGAGGCAGGAGCCGAUCACGUCCCAGGGCAGUGCUUCUCCCUGGCACUGAGUCCGUGGAAAGAGGCUGGGAAGGUUCUUUCCACACUUGAGGGCUGGCGUUGGGAAAAUAGGGUAGUGCUCUCCGCCCCAGUGAACAGCAAGAGCUCACUUCCCCCAGCAGACUUCUGCUCCACUGGCCUACUUUCAGCAUGGAGUGGAAGGAAGCCAGCUCCAGGAGGGCAGAGGCUUCCUCUCCACCCCUCUCUUCCACAACCUUCAACAGGCGCCUUGUUCUCCCCGGCCAGGGAACUGCGGAUGGUGACCAUCGUUUCCCAGCCCAGCAAGGGGAAAUGAGGGGAGGAAAUAAACGCAGGGUUUUUAUUGCCAAAUAUUUCUUUCCCUGGGAGGACAACGCAUUCAAACCGCUGAGUGGAGAUUGGAGUUAGUCCAGCCAUAAACCAUCUUAAUGAACACUAAUAGAGAACCGCAAUUAUUGUUGACUUCAAAAUGCAAACAAGAACUUUAGACAGUGAUCCCUAUCAGCCGGUGAGGCCGGGCACAGAUGCCGGGCGCUGUUUUUGCCGUUGCUUAGCAAUGGAAAAUGAACUGUUCCUGUCUGUUACCACUGGAGGUGGAGGUAGGACAAUGAGCUUUAUUGGACAGAAUAGGUAUGAAAUUAGUUUAUUCUUUUUCACUUGGAGAAGGCAAUUGGCAGCCAAGAGAGUCACUCGGAAAAGGGGUAUUUUAGAGGUUGAGGGUGACUUUCCUUCUCAUUACUUCGGUAAAUCCUAACCACCUUGUUUUCCUCUACAGAUAAAGUUUGAACUUUUGCCGGGAGUGUCCCUCCAAAACGAUCAUCAAUCAGACAGAAUAGCUGCAAAUACCAACUCACAGACCAGGUUGGGAAUUAGGUGAUAGGGUCUUGCUAUGUUGCCUCGGCUGGAAUGCAGUGGCUGUUCAUAGACAUUAUCACAGCACACUACAGUCUCAAACUCCUGGACUCAAGCAAUCCUCCUGCCUCAGCCUCCUGAGUAGCUAGGACUACUGGGAUGCACUACUGCUCUUGGCAAAUUAAGGAUUUUGAGAUGGAGAGACUAUCCUGGAUUAUCUGAUGGGCUUAAUCAUUGACAAAGGUUCUUAUAUAAGGAAAAGUCAAUGUGAUAAUGGAAGCAGAUUUGAAGAUGCUGUGCAACUGGCUUUGAAGAUGGAGGACGGGGCCACAAGCCAAGGAUUGUUGGCAGCCUCUAAGCUGGAAGAGGUAAGAAGCAUAUUCUCCUGUGGCACCUCCGGGAGAAAUGCAGUACUGCCUAUACCUUGACUUUAGCCAAGUGAAACUAAUUUUAGACUUCUCACCUCCAGAACUGUAAGAUAAUAAAUUUGUGUUGAUUUAAGACACUAUGUUUGUGGUAAUUGGUUACAGCAAUAGGAAACUAAUAGACCAGGCAUUAUGUUAAGUGCUUUAUAUCAUUAAAGAAAUGUAUACAAAUCCA